GGAUGCAGCUCAGUGGUAGAGUGCUUGCCUAGCAAGCUAGAGGCACUGGCUUCCAUCCCAAUGUUGCCA
RNAcentral lists this transfer RNA (69 nucleotides) under Marmota monax (woodchuck). RNAcentral describes it as "tRNA.Ala". Lineage: Eukaryota; Metazoa; Chordata; Mammalia; Rodentia; Sciuridae. The record is from RNAcentral.